This 1058-nucleotide ribosomal RNA is filed under the name Parcipromus gigantoarboricolus. RNAcentral's name for it is "partial large subunit ribosomal RNA". The record is from RNAcentral. Lineage: Eukaryota; Metazoa; Arthropoda; Diplopoda; Polydesmida; Xystodesmidae.
UGGGAUAUAAAUGUGAUAUUUUGUUAUUAUAAUAUAUUAGAUUAGUAUUAUGUGUGAGAAUUGUGGUGUUUUUAUAGUAUAAGAGUACUUUUUAGGAAUUAUUUUAUUUUUAUUAAAUUUAGGUUUUUUAAUACCUUUUGUAUUAGGGAUCUUUAAUGUGGAUAAAUAUUAAUUUUUUCUCGAUGAAUAUUGGGCUAUCUAAUUUUAUUUUAUUUUCGUUGCAUAGAGAUUAUUAAGGGUUAGAUAGUUAUGAAAUAUUAUUCAAGAUGUUUUAUAUCUAGUUUUUCUAGAAUUAUAAUGGGGUGUAUGUUUAUUUAUGAUGCAAAUAGGGAUUAGCUUAUUUGUAAUUUAUAUGUUUUUUUGUUGUGAUUUAUUUGUGAAGUUAAAAGUUCUUACUAUUAUGGUGUUAUUACUAAAUAAAAAUUUUUUAUAAUUUUUUUGUUUUAUAUUAAGAUAGGGAAUAUUAUAUUAAUUUUGAGUGUGAUGAUAUAAUGAUGAUAUUAGUAAUAUUGGUAUUUGUAAUUUAAGUUUUGAAUUAAUUUGGUUAGUUAGAAUGGUUGGUUAUUAAUGAUGAAGAAUUAGGCAAAGAUUAACCUUUGACUGUUUAGCAAAAACAUUGUUUUUUGUAAUAAAAUAAAAAAUAAGUUCUGCCCACUGUUGUAUAAUGAAGGGCUGCAGUAUUUUGACUGUAUGAAGGUAGCAUAAUCAUUAGCUUUUUAAUUAGGAGCUGGUAUGAAGGGGAAACAGAGGUUUGCUAUUUUAUUUUUAGGUAAUGAAUUUUAUUUUUAUGUGAAAAAUCAUGAUUGAAAUAAUGGGACAAGAAGACCCUAGUAAGUUUUAUUUUUUAUCUUUAAUGCAUAUAUAGGAAUAAAAAUUUAUGUAAUUUAUUAUAUUUGGUUUAACUGGGGCGGUGUGUUAUUAAACAUAAUUUAUUUUUUAACUUAUUUGGUGGCGAUAAGGUAGACCUAGGAGGUUUAGUUGAGUGUAAAAUUACUGUAGGGAUAACAGCGUAAUUUUUUUUAAGAGUUCUUAUUAACAAAAAAGUUUGCGACCUCGAU